This is a long non-coding RNA of Gorilla gorilla gorilla (western lowland gorilla), 3987 nucleotides long. RefSeq lists it as uncharacterized. The record is from RefSeq and is a predicted model, not a curated record. NCBI's taxonomy places the organism in Eukaryota, Metazoa, Chordata, Mammalia, Primates, Hominidae. The transcript has 4 exons.
UGGCGGUUUUGCGGAAUAGAAAAGGGGGAAAGGUGGGGAAAAAGAUAGAGAAAUCAGAUUGUUGCUGUCUGUGUAGAAAGAAGUAGACAUGGGAGACUUCACUUUGUUCUGUACUAAGAAAAAUUCUUCUGCCUUGGGAUGCUGUUGAUCUAUGACCUUACCCCCAACCAUGUGCUCUCUGAAACAUGUGCUGUGUCCACUAAGGGUUAAAUGGAUUAAGGGCUGUGCAAGAUGUGCUUUGUUAAACAGAUGCUUGAAGGCAGCAUGCUCGUUAAGAGUCAUCACCACUCCCUAAUCUCAAGUACCCAGGGACACAAACACUGCGGAAGGCCGCAGGGUCCUCUGCCUAGGAAAACCAGAGACCUUUGUUCACUUGUUUAUGUGCUGACCUUCCCUCCACUAUUGUCCUAUGCCCCUGCCAAAUCCCCCUCUGUGAGAAACACCCAAGAAUGAUCAAUAAAAAAAAAAAAGAAGAGAAGAGACACAGAUACAGAAACACACACAGAGGGAAGGCAGCUGUAUGAAGAUGGAAGCAGAGAAGGGAGUUAUGUGGCCACAAAUCAAUAAAUACCAAGGAUUGGCCAGGCAUGGUGCUGCAUACCUAUAAUCCCAGUACUUUGGGAGGCUGAGGUGGGAGGAUUGCUUGAGCCCAGGAGUUUGAGACCAGCCUGGGCAAAAAAUAUAGUGAAACCCCAUUUCUAUCAAAACCAAAAGCAAACAAACAAAAAACCCAAGGAUUGCUUUCCACCUGAAGCUGGAUGAGGCAAAAGAAGAUCCUCCUGCAGAGUCUUUGGACAGAGCACAGUCCUGCUGAUGCCUUAAUUUUGGACUUCUGACCUCUGAAAUAGAGUAAUUUCUUAAAAAGCCACCUAGGUUGUGACAAUUUGUUAUGGCAACCCUAGGAAACUAAUACAAUUGUGUCAUUGUUUUUUUCUCUCUACUAGUUUUAAAAUUGUAAGCUUUUUUUUCUGUCCUUUUAGUGGCUGCUCUAGAACUAACAGCAGGCCUCAUGAAUGUUUUCUAAUCACAAAUUUGUGUGUUUAUUUCUUUUGAAAGCAUUAAUUGCAAGCCUAUUAUGUGCCAGAACAUAUUCUAGAUGCUGGGGAUAUAGCAACAAGUCAGGUAAACAUUUCUGCCUUUCUGGAGAUUGUACCCUAGUACCAGGAAAUAUACAAUAUGCUAUAAAAAUAAAUAAUAGAAUGGCAAAAAAAAAAAAAAAAAAAAGAACAAAGCUGGAGGCAUCCCGCUACCUGACUUCAAACUAUACUACAAGCUAGAGUAACCAAAACAGCAUGGUACUGGUACCAAAACAGCAUGGUACUGGUACCAAAACAGCAUGGUACUGGUACCAAAACAGAUAUAUAGAUCAAUGGAACAGAACAGAGGCCUCAGAAAUAACAUCACACAUCUACAACCAUCUGAACUUUGACAAACCUGAAAAAAACAAGCAAUAUCAAAAGGGUUCCCUAUUUAAUAAAUGGUGCUGGGAAAACUGGUUAGCUAUAUGUAGAAAGCUGAAACUGGAUCCCUUCUUUACACCAUAUACAAAAAUUAACUAGAGGCAUUAAAUACUUAAAUGUAAGACCUAACACUGUAAAAAUCCUAAAAGAAAACCUAGGCAAUACCAUUCAGGACAUAGACAUGGGCAAGGACUUCAUGACUAAAAUACCAAAAGCAAUGGCAACAAAAGCCAAAAUAGACAAAUGGGAUCUAAUUAAACUAAAGAGCUUCUGCACAGCAAAAGAAACUACCAUCAGAGUGAACAGGUAGCCUACAGAAUGGGAGAAAAUCUUUGCAGUCUACCCAUCUGAAAAAGGGCUAAUAUUCAGAAUCUACAAAGAACGUAAACAAAUUUACAAGAAAUAAACAAACAACCCCAUCAAAAAGUGGGCAAAGGAUAUGAACAGACACUUCUCAAAAGAAGACAUUUAUGCAGCCAACAGACAUAUGAAAAAAUGCUCAUCACUUGUCAUCAGAGAAAUGCAUAUCAAAACCACAAUGAGAUACCAUCUCACACCAGUUAGAAUGGCCAUCAUUAAAAAGUCAGGAAACAACAGGUGCUGGAGAGGAUGUGGAGAAAUAGGAACACUUUUACACUGUUGGUGGGACUGUAAACUAGUUCAACCAUUGUGGAAGACAAUGUGGUGAUUCCUCGAGGAUCUAGAACUAGAAAUACCAUUUGACCCAGCCAUCCCAUUACUGGGUAUAUACCCAAAGGAUUAUAAAUCAUGCUACUAUAAGGACACAUGCACACGUAUGUUUAUUGGGGCACUAUUCACAAUAGCAAAGACUUGGAACCAACCCAAAUAUCCAUCAAUGAUAGACUAGAUUGAGAAAAUGUGGCACAUAUACACCAUGGAAUACUAUGCAGUCAUAAAAAAGGAUGAGUUCAUGUCCUUUGUAGGGACAUGGAUAAAGCUGGAAACCAUCAUUCUAAGCAAACUAUCACAAGGACAGAAAACCAAACACCGCAUGUUCUCACUCAUAGGUGGGAGUUGAACAAUGAGAACACAUGGACACAGGGUGGGGAACCUCACACACCGGGGCCUGUCAGUGGGUGGGGGCCUGGGGGAGGUAUAGCAUUAGGAGAAAUACCUAAUGUAAAUGACGAAUUGAUGGGUGCAGCAAACCAACAUGGCACAUGUAUACCUAUGUAACAAACCUGCACGUUUUGCACAUGUACCCUAGAACUUAAAAUAUAAUAAAAAAACCCACAGUGAUAUGACAAUCAAACUUGUUUUUAAUGCCUUCCAGGGAAAUCCUUUUGUUACUUAUCAAAUUAUUUAAAGAAAGCAUUUCUUAUUAUAUUUACCUUGGAACAUUUCCCCAGAAAGGAGAUGGGGCUGUUCUUGGCUUGAUACGGUGCCCAGAGCUUUUUUAUUUGUGUGCAGUUGAUGAUUGAUUCUCUGAGAUACAGAAAACAGUUGAUCGAUCUCAAUAGAUAAGGGAAUUUACCUUUUUUCUUUUUGAGCAUGAGUUACUCUAUGUGCAUUUUCUCAUUUCAUCCUCUGAACAAUCUUCCUGUCACCAUUUUAUAAACGCAGAAACAGAGAUUCAAAAGGGUCAGAUCACUGGCUCCAGGUCAACUCUACUACUAAAUAGAAAAGCAAGGACCAAGAUUCAGAUCUUUGUGACCCUCAAUGCCACUAUGCCAUGCGAUGAGGCCUGCCUCCUUUAGAGGCCAACUAAUAGGCCAACUUGAUUUUCUUGAGGAAUGGCCGAAUGGAAGUUGAAUGGUUGAAGGUGACUGGCAAACAGAGAAACAAGGCACCAAGAACUGGCUAUUUCCAAACGUGGGCAAUCAGCUUCUGAAUGAAUAGUUCAGAAUGAUGCAGCUCUGGAUGUUGGAAAAGACAAUUCCGGCGUUUUACUCUUCUGACCAGUUUCUUCGUUUUCAUAACUCUACUUGAAGAACAUGUGAUGUUUGCCAGUGUCUGACAUUACGUACCUCACAGCUUACUGAAUCUGAAAACAGGAGAUAGAGAUGGAAAGGAAAGCCUCAGGAACUUGUUGCAAUAGGGACUGCCAUGCCCCGUUGCACUAUUGGUGGAAGAGAGGUCCACACAGUGCCUACGAUGAGCGAUUUGUUCAUAUCUAUCCAGACUGCAGGUGCAUACAGCCACUCAUCCUCAAAUGCCAUCUUCAGGAGUUUAUGCUGCACACAGACUGGCACAUGUGCAGGAAGACAUAGUGCAGGGCUACUUGCUACAACAUUGUUGGUGAUGGCAACAUAUUGGAAGCAACCUGAAUUUUUGUUAAUAGAGGAUUGGCUACAUAAAUGAUGCUAAUCUAUACAACUGGAGUACUAUGAUGCCAUAAAAAAGAAUGUACAAGGUCUUUAUGUUUGGAAAGAUCUCUAAGAUAUAAUGGUGAGUGAAAAGUGUAAGAUGCAGAGCACUGUGUUUUACAGGCUGUCAUUUGGGGGCUGACAACAUCUAUUCAAAUGUGCUUUCAUAUAUAUUUUCAGCACUUUGGAAGGAAAAACAU